This 468-nucleotide ribosomal RNA is filed under the name uncultured bacterium. RNAcentral's name for it is "partial 16S ribosomal RNA". It matches the Rfam family "Bacterial small subunit ribosomal RNA", at positions 28 to 507 of the family's 1533-position model. The record is from RNAcentral.
GACGAACGCUGGCGGCGCGCCUAACACAUGCAAGUCGAACGGAACUGAGAGAAGCUUGCUUUUCUUAGCUUAGUGGCGGACGGGUGAGUAACGCGUGGGUAACCUGCCCUUGAGUGGGGGACAACAGUUGGAAACGGCUGCUAAUACCGCAUAAGCCCACGAUCCGGCAUCUGUGUGAGGGAAAAGGAUUUAUUCGCUUCAGUAUGGACUCGCCUCCAAUUAGCUAGGUGGUGAGGUAACGUCCCAACAAGGCGACGAUGGGUAGCCGGACUGAGAGGUUGAACGGAAACAUUGGGAGUGAGCAACGGUACAGAAUCCUACGGGAGGGAGCAGUGGGUGACAUAGCAACAUGGCGGAAAUGAUGAUGGUGCGACGACGGGUGGAGGAAGAAGGUAUUCGGAUAGUAAACCCCUGUUGUCAGGGAGGACAAUGACGGUACCUAACAAGAAAGCCACGGCUAACUACGUG